CAUCAUAACAGAAACUUAUCCCAGCAAAGAUGGGAGAGUUUGAAAGGUUCAAGUAAAAAUCAUUGGAAAAGAGGGACCUAAAUUGCUCCUGAGACCAAUCAAUGAGAUAGUACUUCUCCUUCAGGAAGACUCUGAAUAGAACAUUCAGUUAAACUGGAGUUUAUGUUUGGCAUUCCCUGAAUACCAGACGGGGAGUGUGCUGUUCUACAAGAACAUUUGAUAUUUAGUCUAUUUUAAAGGUUAUAGUUAGGCGCCCUCCUCUGUUCAAAGUUGGGUACUGCAUGCCAGGUUGUAGAGUCGUUAUAUGACAACGUCAUAAUUAUGAGCCAGAUCUCCAGCAGCAGUAGAGAAUUCCAUGCGGUUAUGACUGCUAUCAUUCCCCGAUUUUAGUUGAUCCGAAGGCACAUUCGUUUUACGUUAUUCCAAGACUGAUAGUAAAGCUGGAGAAAAGAUUCCUUGCUUCUGUUGUUAUUGGAAGGCCCUAUCUGUCUGCCAGAUCAAGCACAGCGUUUGAUAAGAGGGCAGAACAGAGUCAAUUUCUGCUGUGCUGCAGUGCAAACACUGAAUUAAAGUGACAGCGAAUGUUUCAUGUUAAAAAUUAACAUGGAUUGACAAGGAAAUGUAGUAAUUACAUAAUAAAUGCAUAUGAUCAAUU
Cyprinus carpio (common carp) is the source of this 655-nucleotide long non-coding RNA. RefSeq lists it as uncharacterized. Lineage: Eukaryota; Metazoa; Chordata; Actinopteri; Cypriniformes; Cyprinidae. The record is from RefSeq and is a predicted model, not a curated record.